UCCCCGAAUAUUCUCGAUGAAUACAACUCUCACACCUUUAACUUUUCCCAUAAUCUCCCAUGUUAAUGCUAUGUUAUAACAACCUUUAUAUGCCUCUAUCAAUACUAUAUAUAGAGGCAUAGGAACUCAUAUUGUGUUCUCUUGAACAUACUUAUUGAAAGAAUAAGAAAUCGCUCUUCUCUUGUCUCUGUGUUUUUAUUUCUUUCAUAACCAAGGGUCUAAGACAUUGUGUUUGAUGGUGAAGAAAGAAAGUGUUGAGACGAAAAUGUUUAUGAGAAAGGUUUUUUUCUUUCGUCAAUUCGUAGUGAAAUUAUUGAUUAUCAAGCACACUAAUGAAAAUACUAAAUUUACUUGAGAAAACGGCGUUAAGUAGGAAAAAGAACACUGAAGCAAAGUUAAAUAGACUGAUCUAAAUAAUUUUAAAGGAAUUCAUUUUAAUAGUUAGUUCAUAUUAACAUCAUGGCACAUAACAACUCUAGAAAAAAGUUAGGUUCUUGAUUGAAAAAUUCAAUUUGCUACAAGA
Molecule: long non-coding RNA, 523 nt
Filed under: Solanum tuberosum (potato)
Lineage: Eukaryota; Viridiplantae; Streptophyta; Magnoliopsida; Solanales; Solanaceae
Description: long non-coding RNA (STUB_LNC006022)
Source: RNAcentral